This 110-nucleotide non-coding RNA is filed under the name Thioalkalivibrio sp. RNAcentral's name for it is "Glycine sequence". It matches the Rfam family "Glycine riboswitch aptamer". From Rfam's summary of the family: This family represents the bacterial glycine riboswitch. Glycine riboswitches usually consist of two metabolite-binding aptamers domains with similar structures in tandem. The record is from RNAcentral. Lineage: Bacteria; Pseudomonadati; Pseudomonadota; Gammaproteobacteria; Chromatiales; Ectothiorhodospiraceae.
AAGACACACUCUGGAGAGCGGCCGGCGACGGCCCACCGAAGGGGGCGGCCCUGCAGCGAGUAAUCGCUGGCACGGCGCAAACUCUCAGGUUUCAGGACAGAGGGGCGGCU